AAUAUUUCGGCGAUGAAAAUUAUAAAAUUAUACUCUGCAAUAUCAAAUGGAAUUCCAAUCUAAUAUUCCAAUCACCACAUAGUCUAGCACCGUUGCCGUGAGGAACGGAUCCGUAUGAUCUGUCAUUACACCAGUACCGAUAAUCAUUUCA
Paramacrobiotus metropolitanus is the source of this 151-nucleotide long non-coding RNA. RefSeq lists it as uncharacterized. The record is from RefSeq and is a predicted model, not a curated record. Lineage: Eukaryota; Metazoa; Tardigrada; Eutardigrada; Parachela; Macrobiotidae. The transcript has 3 exons.